Molecule: ribosomal RNA, 440 nt
Filed under: uncultured bacterium
Lineage: Bacteria
Description: partial 16S ribosomal RNA
Rfam family: Bacterial small subunit ribosomal RNA
Source: RNAcentral
CCUACGGGUGGCAGCAGUAGGGAAUAUUGCUCAAUGGGGGAAACCCUGAAGCAGCAACGCCGCGUGGAGGAUGAAGGUUUUCGGAUUGUAAACUCCUUUUGUUAGAGAAGAUAAUGACGGUAUCUAACGAAUAAGCACCGGCUAACUCCGUGCCAGCAGCCGCGGUAAUACGGAGGGUGCAAGCGUUACUCGGAAUCACUGGGCGUAAAGAGCGCGUAGGCGGGAUAGCAAGUCAGAUGUGAAAUCCUAUGGCUUAACCAUAGAACUGCAUUUGAAACUGUUAUUCUAGAGUAUGGGAGAGGUAGGUGGAAUUCUUGGUGUAGGGGUAAAAUGCGUAGAGAUCAGGAGGAACACUCAUGGCGAAGGCGACCUGCUAGACCACAACUGACGCUGAGGCGCGAAAGCGUGGGGAGCAAACAGGAUUAGAUACCCGAGUAGUC